UCGGGACCUAAGGCGAGGCCGACAAGCGUAGUCGAUGGACAACGGGUUGAUAUUCCCGUACCCGCGAAAUGACGACCCUGCCGAGGCGGGUAAUGCUAAACACGCGAGCUUGGGGAGGACUUCGGUUCGAGCCAGGCGAGUCUGUGACCCAAACCUGUAUUAGGCAAGCUGCGGAGGGACGCAGGAAGGUAGCCCAUCCCGGGCGAUGGUAGUCCCGGGCUAAGUGCGUAGGGCGUCAGGUUGGCAAAUCCGCCUGGCAUAAGCCUGAGACAUGACGGCUGGGCCGGAUCUACGGAUCUGGUCGAGUGGGUGAUCCUAUGCUGCCUAGAAAAGCUUCGUGAGCGAUGUCAUUUAGCGGCCCGUACCCUAAACCGACACAGGUGGAUAGGUAGAGAAUACCAAGGCGAUCGAGAUAAUCGUGGUGAAGGAACUCGGCAAAAUACCCCCGUAACUUCGGGAUAAGGGGGACCUGAUGUGUGAGCCGGCUUGCCCGGUGAAGCACUGAGGGUCGCAGAGACCAGGCCCAAGCGACUGUUUACUAAAAACACAGGUCCGUGCUAAGUCGAAAGACGAUGUAUACGGACUGACUCCUGCCCGGUGCUGGAAGGUUAAGGGGAAGUGUCAGCGCAAGCGAAGCACCGAACUUAAGCCCCAGCAAACGGCGGUGGUAACUAUAACCAUCCUAAGGUAGCGAAAUUCCUUGUCGGGUAAGUUCCGACCUGCACGAAUGGAGUAACGAUUUGGGCGCUGUCUCCACCACGAACUCGGCGAAAUUGCACUACGAGUAAAGAUGCUCGUUACGCGCAGCAGGACGGAAAGACCCCGGGACCUUUACUAUAGUUUGGUAUUGGUGAUCGGUACGACUUGUGUAGGAUAGGUGGGAGACUUUGAAGCGAGGACGCCAGUUCUUGUGGAGUCAACGUUGAAAUACCACUCUGGUCGUUCUGGUUAUCUAACCUAGGUCCGUUAUCCGGAUCAGGGACAGUGCCUGAUGGGUAGUUUGACUGGGGCGGUCGCCUCCCAAAAUGUAACGGAGGCGCCCAAAGGUUCCCUCAGCCUGGUUGGCAAUCAGGUGUUGAGUGUAAGUGCACAAGGGAGCUUGACUGUGAGAGGGACAUCUCGAACAGGGACGAAAGUCGGGACUAGUGAUCUGACGGUGGCACGUGGAAGCGCCGUCACUCAACGGAUAAAAGGUACCCCGGGGAUAACAGGCUGAUCUUGCCCGAGCGUCCAUAGCGACGGCAUGGUUUGGCACCUCGAUGUCGGCUCGUCGCAUCCUGGGGCUGGAGUCGGUCCCAAGGGUUGGGCUGUUCGCCCAUUAAAGCGGCACGCGAGCUGGGUUUAGAACGUCGUGAGACAGUUCGGUCCCUAUCCGCUGCGCGCGUAGGAGUCUUGAGAAGAGCUGUCCUUAGUACGAGAGGACCGGGACGGACUAACCUCUGGUGUGCCAGUUGUUCUGCCAAGAGCACGGCUGGUUGGCUACGUUGGGAAGUGAUAACCGCUGAAAGCAUCUAAGCGGGAAGCAUGCUUCAAGAUGAGGGCUCCCACAGGGUAACCUGGUAAGGCCCCCGGCAGACCACCGGGUGAUAGGUCGGAUGUGGAAGGGCAGUAAUGCUCGGAGCUGACCGAUACUAAUAGGCCGAGGGCUUGUUUC
This 1654-nucleotide ribosomal RNA is filed under the name metagenome. RNAcentral's name for it is "bacterial LSU rRNA". It matches the Rfam family "Bacterial large subunit ribosomal RNA", at positions 1384 to 2925 of the family's 2925-position model. The record is from RNAcentral.